GUGUGCCGUUGAUCCGUGAAGAUAACCGUGAGCUGAGGUGGGCGGCCGUCUUCGAAUUUCUUCUUCAUGGAGAGAAGCAAGCGUAUGACCAUGUGCACUGACACACCUAGAAUAGCUUCUGCCUUCUCUCUUUCUUUAUUCUGCCAUCCCUCUUUCUUUAUCAAUAAAAUAACAAGAGAAACCCACAAAGAGAAACCGUGAAAGGAAGGAAAUUCGGCGCCUACAAUUGU
RNAcentral lists this long non-coding RNA (230 nucleotides) under Eucalyptus grandis. Its description in RNAcentral is "long non-coding RNA (EGRA_LNC005277)". Lineage: Eukaryota; Viridiplantae; Streptophyta; Magnoliopsida; Myrtales; Myrtaceae. The record is from RNAcentral.